RNAcentral lists this ribosomal RNA (1186 nucleotides) under Travancoriana sp. FB-5. RNAcentral describes it as "partial 16S ribosomal RNA". Lineage: Eukaryota; Metazoa; Arthropoda; Malacostraca; Decapoda; Gecarcinucidae. The record is from RNAcentral.
UUAAGGCAUCUUGUUAUAGUUUGUAGAUUACAUAAGAAUUGUAUGAAAAAGAUUUUUAUUAAUGUAUUUAAAGUAAUUAUAAGUGAAAUAUUAUAUAAACUAUAGUUUAUAGUACUGUAAAGGAAAGGAAAAAUUAAUAACAAAUAAGUAAAAAUAUAAUUUUGUACCUUGUGUAUCAGGGAAAAUUUAUAUAUAUUAAAAAAUUAAAAGUCUCGAAAUAAAAAUAGCUAAUUUUAUAAUAGAGUUUUUAUAGGAUAUAAAUUUUGAAUAUAAAAUUAAAGAUGAAAUGUUAUUCGAGUUUUAUGAUAUCUAGUUUCUUAGGAUAUAAAUAUAAUUUAAUUUUUGUAGAAAUAAGCUAUAAAAGAUAAGAAUAGGAGGGAUUAGCUUCUUAUUAAUUAAAAUUAAUAAAAUUAAAUAAAAAGAAAAAAUUAAACUAAGCUUAAAAGUAGCUAUGUUAAUAAAGUGUUUUAACUAAAAUUUAUAGUGAUUUUUGUUUAUGAAAAUUUUAAAAAAUACUAGGAAUUUAUUUAUAGUAAGAUUAAAUAGGGUAUAAUGAUUUUAUUAGUAGAAGUUAAAGUGAAAAAAAUUAUUUGAAUAGAAAAAAAAUAUAAAUGAAUAAAAGGUAAUUUACAGGAAUUCAGCAAAAUACUUCUUUGCCUGUUUAUCAAAAACAUGUCUAUUUGUCAAUAUAAAAAGUCUAACCUGCCCACUGAUAGUUAUAAAUUUAAGGGCCGCGGUAUUAUGACUGUGCAAAGGUAGCAUAAUCAUUAGGUUUUUAAAUGGAAUCUUGUAUGAAUGGUUGGACAAGAGAGAAACUGUCUUUACAUUAGAAUUUGAAUUUAACUUUUAAGUGAGAAGGCUUAAAUAACCUAGGGGGACGAUAAGACCCUAUAAAAUUUUACAUUAUAAUUAUAUUUUAUAGAAUUUGGGUAAUAAAAAUUUAUUUAAUUAUUUUGUUUUGUUGGGGCGACAAAAGUAAAAAUUAUACUAACUGCUUUGUAUAAAACCAAUUAUAAGUGAGUAACCAAAACAAUGAUCCUAAUUAUUGAUUUAAAGAUUAAGUUACUUUAGGGAUAACAGUGUAAUUUUUUUUGAGAGUCCAUAUCGAAAAAAAAGUUUGCAACCUCGAUGUUGAAUUAAAAUAUCUAUAUAAUGCAGCUGUUAUAUAAGAAGGUCUGUUCGACCU